Molecule: transfer RNA, 73 nt
Filed under: Anaerolineae bacterium
Lineage: Bacteria; Bacillati; Chloroflexota; Anaerolineae
Also listed under: 1 other name
Description: tRNA-Arg
Rfam family: tRNA
About the family: Transfer RNA (tRNA) molecules are approximately 80 nucleotides in length. Their secondary structure includes four short double-helical elements and three loops (D, anti-codon, and T loops). Further hydrogen bonds mediate the characteristic L-shaped molecular structure. tRNAs have two regions of fundamental functional importance: the anti-codon, which is responsible for specific mRNA codon recognition, and the 3' end, to which the tRNAs corresponding amino acid is attached (by aminoacyl-tRNA synthetases). tRNAs cope with the degeneracy of the genetic code in two manners: having more than one tRNA (with a specific anti-codon) for a particular amino acid; and 'wobble' base-pairing, i.e. permitting non-standard base-pairing at the 3rd anti-codon position.
Source: RNAcentral
GCCCUUGUAGCUCAGUGGACAGAGCAGCUGCCUUCUAAGCAGACGGUCGGGGGUUCGAGUCCCUCCAGGGGCG